RNAcentral lists this ribosomal RNA (189 nucleotides) under Elizabethkingia sp. enrichment culture DGGE band BES-CAP-1. Its description in RNAcentral is "partial 16S ribosomal RNA". It matches the Rfam family "Bacterial small subunit ribosomal RNA", at positions 338 to 524 of the family's 1533-position model. The record is from RNAcentral. Lineage: Bacteria; Pseudomonadati; Bacteroidota; Flavobacteriia; Flavobacteriales; Weeksellaceae.
CCUACGGGAGGCAGCAGUGAGGAAUAUUGGACAAUGGGUGCAAGCCUGAUCCAGCCAUCCCGCGUGAAGGAUGACGGCCCUAUGGGUUGUAAACUACUUUUAUCUGGGGAUAAACCUACUUACGUGUAAGUAGCUGAAGGUACCAGAUGAAUAAGCACCGGCUAACUCCGUGCCAGCAGCCGCGGUAAU